Molecule: ribosomal RNA, 445 nt
Filed under: uncultured bacterium
Lineage: Bacteria
Description: partial 16S ribosomal RNA
Rfam family: Bacterial small subunit ribosomal RNA
Source: RNAcentral
GUGAGGAAUAUUGGUCAAUGGACGGAAGUCUGAACCAGCCAUGCCGCGUGAAGGAUGAAGGCGUUCUGCGUUGUAAACUUCUUUUAUCAGAGAAGAAACCACUGAUUUCUAUUAGUGUUGACGGUAUCUGAUGAAUAAGCACCGGCUAACUCCGUGCCAGCAGCCACGGUAAUACGGAGGGUGCAAGCGUUAUCCGGAUUUACUGGGUUUAAAGGGUGUGUAGGCGGGCUAUUAAGUCAGGGGUGAAAUCCCGGGGCUCAACCUCGGAACUGCCUUUGAUACUAUUAGUCUUGAAUUAUGUUGAGGUUGGCGGAAUAUAACAUGUAGCGGUGAAAUGCAUAGAUAUGUUAUAGAACACCGAUUGCGAAGGCAGCUGGCUAAACAUAUAUUGACGCUGAGGCACGAAAGCGUGGGUAGCGAACAGGAUUAGAAACCCCUGUAGUCC